RNAcentral lists this ribosomal RNA (301 nucleotides) under uncultured bacterium. RNAcentral's name for it is "partial 16S ribosomal RNA". It matches the Rfam family "Bacterial small subunit ribosomal RNA", at positions 509 to 807 of the family's 1533-position model. The record is from RNAcentral.
CAGUCGCCGCGGGAAUACGAAGGGUGCAAGCGUCAAUCGGAAUUACUGGGCGUAAAGCGUGCGUAGGCGGUUUGUUAAGUCUGUUGUGAAAUCCCCGGGCUCAACCUGGGAAUGGCAAUGGAUACUGGCAAGCUAGAGUGUGUCAGAGGAUGGUGGAAUUCCCGGUGUAGCGGUGAAAUGCGUAGAGAUCGGGAGGAACAUCAGUGGCGAAGGCGGCCAUCUGGGACAACACUGACGCUGAGGCACGAAAGCGUGGGGAGCAAACAGGAUUAGAUACCCCCGUAGUCCCUGUCUCUUAUAC